AAGAAGGAGGAGGAGCUCAAAGU
Molecule: non-coding RNA, 23 nt
Filed under: Cricetulus griseus (Chinese hamster)
Lineage: Eukaryota; Metazoa; Chordata; Mammalia; Rodentia; Cricetidae
Source: RNAcentral